GAUGAACGCUGGCGGCGUGCCUAAUACAUGCAAGUCGAGCGAACGGACGAGAAGCUUGCUUCUCUGAUGUUAGCGGCGGACGGGUGAGUAACGCGUGGAUAACCUACCUAUAAGACUGGGAUAACUUCGGGAAACCGGAGCUAAUACCGGAUAAUAUUUUGAACCGCAUGGUUCAAAAGUGAAAGACGGUCUUGCUGUCACUUAUAGAUGGAUCCGCGCUGCAUUAGCUAGUUGGUAAGGUAACGGCUUACCAAGGCAACGAUGCAUAGCCGACCUGAGAGGGUGAUCGGCCACACUGGAACUGAGACACGGUCCAGACUCCUACGGGAGGCAGCAGUAGGGAAUCUUCCGCAAUGGGCGAAAGCCUGACGGAGCAACGCCGCGUGAGUGAUGAAGGUCUUCGGAUCGUAAAACUCUGUUAUUAGGGAAGAACAUAUGUGUAAGUAACUGUGCACAUCUCGACGGUACCUAAUCAGAAAGCCACGGCUAACUACGUG
RNAcentral lists this ribosomal RNA (497 nucleotides) under uncultured bacterium. Its description in RNAcentral is "partial 16S ribosomal RNA". It matches the Rfam family "Bacterial small subunit ribosomal RNA", at positions 28 to 507 of the family's 1533-position model. The record is from RNAcentral.